This 756-nucleotide ribosomal RNA is filed under the name uncultured bacterium. Its description in RNAcentral is "bacterial SSU rRNA". It matches the Rfam family "Bacterial small subunit ribosomal RNA", at positions 8 to 796 of the family's 1533-position model. The record is from RNAcentral.
AGAGUUUGAUCAUGGCUCAGAAUCAACGCUGGCGGCGCGCUUAACACAUGCAAGUCGAACGAGAAAGUGGAGCAAUCCAUGAGUAAAGUGGCGUACGGGUGAGUAACACGUGGGUAAUCUACCUCUUGGUGGGGAAUAACCCUGGGAAACCGGGGCUAAUACCGCAUAAGCUCGGAAGAGGAAGCCCGAAAGGGGCCGAGAGAGGAGCCCGCGGUCGAUUAGCUAGUUGGUGAGGUAAGAGCUCACCAAGGCGAUGAUCGAUAGCCGGCCUGAGAGGGCACACGGCCACACUGGCACUGAAACACGGGCCAGACUCCUACGGGAGGCAGCAGUGGGGAAUCUUGCACAAUGGGGGCAACCCUGAUGCAGCGACGCCGCGUGAGCGAUGAAGCCCUUCGGGGUGUAAAGCUCUUUCGGCCGGAACGAUAAUGACGGUACCGGCAGAAGAAGCUGCGGCUAACUACGUGCCAGCAGCCGCGGUAAUACGUAGGCAGCGAGCGUUGUUCGGAGUUACUGGGCGUAAAGAGUGCGUAGGCGGUGCUCUAAGUUUGGUGUGAAAUCUCCCGGCUCAACUGGGAGGGUGCGCCGAAAACUGGAGUGCUCGAGUAUGGGAGAGGUAAGCGGAAUUCCUGGUGUAGCGGUGAAAUGCGUAGAUAUCAGGAGGAACACCUGCGGUGUAGACGGCUUACUGGACCAUGACUGACGCUGAGGCACGAAAGCGUGGGGAGCAAACAGGAUUAGAUACCCUAGUAGUCC